UUUAUUGAUAUACGAUACAAAAUGUCGAUGCUUCGGAUAUCGCACAUCCCUAGACAGCAAUUGCACAUGGUAUGUAAUAGAAAGAGACAGAAAGAAAAGAAAAGGAGGGAAGUAUCUAAGGGAUAUAACGCCUUCCUUAGGUGAAUUUUUUUCAGUUCCUCUCCCGUGGGCGCUACUGGAAACGACGUGUCGUGAUUAGACUUCCGUAAAAAAACAAAGAAGAAAAAAUGUUUUCCGCUCAAUCUUCGCAGGUGGCAGUCAACAGAUUAGAAGAGAAGAUCAGAUCUCUAAAAAGAAAACUCAGCAAACUUCAGACAGACUUAAGUCAAGUCAGUUCUGAAUUAUCUACUGCUCAACGUGAAUUGGAAACAGUGAGGUCUAACGUCCGAUACUCAUCUUGGAAAUGAAAGAUUCCAUCUAAAUCAAAACUAGAAAUACAAAAUCAAAAUUUCAUCAGUUGUGGAAAAUUCCGAGCCAUCUCCUGAACCAUACGAAGGAACACAUUCGAAUAGUCAACAAACAGUAAGCAGUGACAUCAUAAAACUCUUGCCAUGGAGAAGACGCUUCCUAUCACUGGAUUAUACGAAAUUUGGAGCAUGUUUUUGAAGACAAACAGCUAUUUGAUAGUCGUAUUAGCAGCUAGUGCAAUUAACAGUAUUUUUAAUUAAUUGAUGAGUAUUAAUCAGUAUUGUAAACGGUAGAAGCUAAGAAGAAGACUGAUCUAUAUGUUUCUAUUUUAUCAAAAUUCUCAACGAAAGUGCCAUUAGAUUAAGUUUUUGAGUCAUGACAUGACAAAGAUUCCUAAAUUAUAAUAAGUUUUGAUCUCUAAAGUAAUCUCUAAAAUUAAUUUAAUUGUAAAUUUAUAAAAUGGUUGUGAUGUUACGCACUUUGAAUGAAAAAUGUACUUUGGUUUUGUCUCUCUAGUUUUGAAUCAUCAAAUAAAUGUGUAAGUUAUUUGGAAAA
This is a long non-coding RNA of Cydia pomonella (codling moth), 963 nucleotides long. RefSeq lists it as uncharacterized. NCBI's taxonomy places the organism in Eukaryota, Metazoa, Arthropoda, Insecta, Lepidoptera, Tortricidae. The record is from RefSeq and is a predicted model, not a curated record. The transcript has 2 exons.